RNAcentral lists this ribosomal RNA (471 nucleotides) under uncultured bacterium. Its description in RNAcentral is "bacterial SSU rRNA". It matches the Rfam family "Bacterial small subunit ribosomal RNA", at positions 25 to 507 of the family's 1533-position model. The record is from RNAcentral.
CAGGACGAACGCUGGCGGCGUGCCUAACACAUGCAAGUCGAACGAGAUCCAUGGGAGCUUGCUCCCGGAAGAUCUAGUGGCGAACGGGUGAGUAACACGUGAGAAACCUGCCCUGGAGUGGGGAAUAACUCGGGGAAACUCGAGCUAAUACCGCAUACCCUCGGAUGGUCGCAUGGCCGACCGAGGAAAGAUUUAUCGCUCUAGGAGGGUCUCGCGGCCUAUCAGCUAGUUGGUGGGGUAACGGCCUACCAAGGCAACGACGGGUAGCUGGUUUGAGAGAACGAUCAGCCACACUGGGACUGAGACACGGCCCAGACUCCUACGGGAGGCAGCAGUGGGGAAUCUUGCGCAAUGGGCGAAAGCCUGACGCAGCAACGCCGCGUGCGGGAUGACGGCCUUCGUGGUUGUAAACCGCUUUCAGCAGGGACGAAAAUGACGGUACCUGCAGAAGAAGCCCCGGCUAACUACGUG